Onychostoma macrolepis is the source of this 2956-nucleotide long non-coding RNA. RefSeq lists it as uncharacterized. Lineage: Eukaryota; Metazoa; Chordata; Actinopteri; Cypriniformes; Cyprinidae. The transcript has 7 exons. The record is from RefSeq and is a predicted model, not a curated record.
CUUGAGAACUGUGUCCGCCGAAAUCUCCUCAGGAUUAACCGCCAAAUCUCUCUCUCAGGCGGCUGAUCUCCUUCAUUCUAGCAGCGGCCGCCGGAGACAAAACCAGCUCGGGCCGAAGGUAGAUACACGCAACUACACCGAGUGUGGACCUGCCGCACGUGCAACAGCUUUCAGCCGAGAUCGGCCCAGAGAGAAAAAGCCGUCUGUCAGCCAGAAGUGUUUUGUAGAGUCGGCGCGGCUCUGGCCCAUUAUCUUCUCACCGACGUCGUGACUGAGCCGACAGUGCCGCAUUUCCGCCAGAAUCGGCCCGAGUGUGCUUGCUAUGUGGGUUGUUAGUCCCGUGAAGAACGUUGUAGCGACGUGGUCAGCUGGUCUCAUGAUAACUUUUCAUAUUAUUGCACUACAUGUAUUAUUAUGUUAAGAUACCAUUUGGAUAGCCUAUAUUUUGGAAAAUUUUAAAAGAUGGCAUGAAUUAUUAUAUUUGUAGGUACGUAUGUGUCAUCAAAUUAAGGACAAAACAAAAACCAAAUAGCUUGCUUAGCAAAUGGUGAUCAUUGUUAAUUACAUGUUUGUGAAUGACUGAGAAUGAGGUUUAUUGAAAGAGGGCUCAGGACAAAUUAACAUUUAAACCAGCAGCGGGCGGCGCGUCACUGUCUGUACUGCUGCGCGAGAGUGCGCGUGCCCGUCAUUAACGGUCAACUUAAUACACGGAGGAAAAGGUCCUGACUGCCACCAGUCGAGUCAAUGAUUCAGUGGAGAGACAAUCUGGGCAGCAGCAACAAGACAACUAUUACGAGUAGAGAUGGGUUUCAAGAUCCAGGUGCAAGGUGCAAUAAGAUGCAAGGAUCCAGGAUCAAGAGAUCAUUCAUCAUGAAGACUGUUCAAUAGGAAGCAGCGAAUCCUGGGUGAAAAACUAAACCUGGUUGUUUCAGCAUCACUGAGGCAAGGCAAAAUACAUUUAAAUUGAUUUCAGUAGGUUAUAUGUUUCAGAUCAUCCUGACCAUUCUGUUGUCCUGGAUUUGAAGACAUGCUGGAACUGUAUUUCUCGUGGCUGAAAGAUUUGUGCAGCGGUAUCCAGACAUAUAAGCACCCUUCCUGGACCCACGACUAAAGGCUCUGGAGGAGAGACAGAUUCAAGGGAAAGAUGAAAAAUAAGAAGACCGCAGCGAGGGAAGGAAGUAAUCAUCACAAUCUGCCGGAGAAGGAUAUUGACGAUGCAGGCUCAGGACGGCGAAGAGGAGGAAGAACACCUUUAACAUAAUUUUCUCAUACCUUUGUCAUGUGUUAUAAUAAAAACAAUAAACCUGACUACAAUAAUAUGGUAAAUUUUAUUAAAAGAUUCCAGUUUGCAAGGAAUCUGGAGUCUCUGACUCUGCCCUAAAGGAACUCUUUGCUGAGGAAGACCAAGUGCUGAGGAGGAGCCUUGUUCUACAGCAAAACACUGCAUCAACCCUCCAUGACAAGAUGAAGAGUGAAGAGUCUCCUCCUGUCCUUCCCUCAGAAGAGCCUGUCUUCUGCUGCUGGGGUAAGAACGACACUCUUCCUCGUCUCUCACAGCCGUCCAGCACCUAACUCUGCCUCCUCAGCACUGUCUGAAAGAGUCUUCUCCACAGUCAGUAAUCAGAGAUCACACAUUCUCCAGAGAAAGUCAACACGCUCAUUUUCCUAAACAAAACUGUUUAUGUUUUGUGGGUGGGCCAAAUUAUACAGGAGUGAUGCUAGAAAUCUUUAUAUUGUUCAUUUUACAUAUCUUUACUCUUUAUGAAUGUUAUUUUCUUUAUUUAUUUUAUCUUCUGAGAAGCCCAAGAACUAUGGUUCUUUGGUAAUUGUAACAUUGUUUAGGUUUAUCUUCUGAUAGUGAAGCUGUAUUAAAGCACAUCAGCACCAGAUAUUAAUGAAGUAUCUACUGAAUUGUUUCAUAUCUUUUUUAUCAUGUCUAUUUUUUUGCACCAAAUUAAGGGAGUUGUAUCAAUAAGAGUACUGAUAAUUAUUGAUAAUUUUCACUGAUAACAGCAUUAUUUAACUAUGCCCAACCUUAAUGAGACACAAACUUUUUCAGUUGAUUGGUAACACUUUGCAUGGUUAAAGAACAGGUGUAAUGUUUUGGUUUAGUAUUUGUAGAAAGUAACACUGAAUAAAUGUUGAUUCAUGAAUGAAUGCAUUGUGUUUUUGUCUAUUUUCUAUUAGAAUUUAAUGUUUUUGAAUUGGUUUGCACUGCAUGUAUGUAAUGAAUGUAUUUACUAUAAAUCCCCUAUAAUUAAAUUACUGUUAGAUUUUAUAAGUUUUCUUUUUUGCACCAAAGAUGAGUUUUCAAGGUUAUUUCAAGGUAAUAGUCGGAACACAUUCUCAGGACCCAGACUAAAGGCGAGGUGUAAAUAUUAAAAUUAAAAAUUAACGUGGUAUUUUAGUCCUUAGGACAUACUUGGUACGUUGCUGCGACCAAUAUGAUCCGGUACUGUCACGUCCUCACAACGUGCCGGUUUGGUCGUUAGGACGUUCUCAGCACGUUCCAGCGAUGUACCACUAUAACGUCGCCACGACGAAUAUGGGAAUCACAAAGUUACGUCGCUGGUACGUUAUUUGGUAAGUCGCUGCGACCAAUAUGGUACGGUAGAGUGACGUCGUCACGACGUAACUGUGUUAGCUGGGAUGUCGUCAUCUUUAACCGUCACUCGCCACAGAUCUCAAGCAAGGGACAAUAAUGCCAUUCAAGUUAUGAUCCUGGCAGAUCUACUACUAUCUGAAAAGUAGUCUCUGCAGAUUGUUUCAAGAUACACAAGAUGGAGCGUGGAGAGACGGGACAUGGACCACAGUUUUUCAGCACCCACACCCCACACUCAAAUUCAUAUAGAAGUUCUCAAUUAUUAAAUGUUAAUUUCAUAGUUUAUAUUUAGCUGUGAAGUUAUAGUUCAUUGUCAUAAAUAUUAAACUACUUAUUAUUAUUAUUAUUAUUAUU